RNAcentral lists this ribosomal RNA (438 nucleotides) under uncultured soil bacterium. RNAcentral's name for it is "bacterial SSU rRNA". It matches the Rfam family "Bacterial small subunit ribosomal RNA", at positions 26 to 475 of the family's 1533-position model. The record is from RNAcentral.
AGAUUGAACGCUGGCGGCAUGCCUAACACAUGCAAGUCGAACGGGAGUAGCAAUACUCUAGUGGCGGACGGGUGAGGAAUACGUAGGAAUUUGCCCUUAAGUGGGGGAUAACCCGGGGAAACCCGGAUUAAUACCGCAUGACCUCGAAAGAGCAAAGUGGGGGAUCGCAAGACCUCACGCUUUUGGAGAAGCCUACGUCGGAUUAGCUAGUUGGUGAGGUAAUGGCUCACCAAGGCGACGAUCCGUAACUGGUCUGAGAGGAUGAUCAGUCACACCGGAACUGAGACACGGUCCGGACUCCUACGGGAGGCAGCAGGUGGGGAAUAGUUGGACAAUGGGCGCAAGCCUGAUCCAGCAAUGCCGCGUGUGUGAAGAAGGCCUUGGGUUAGUAAAGCUACGUUUAAGGUUAGGGAAAGUAAAAACGUCGACUACUAACAC